Molecule: non-coding RNA, 72 nt
Organism: Phrynosoma platyrhinos (Desert horned lizard)
Lineage: Eukaryota; Metazoa; Chordata; Lepidosauria; Squamata; Phrynosomatidae
Source: the annotation of a GenBank genome assembly
GCCAGCAUGAUGUAGUGGUUUGAGCAUUGGACUAUGAUUCUGGAAGCCAAGGUUCAAAUCCCUGUUCAGCCA